Molecule: ribosomal RNA, 475 nt
Filed under: uncultured bacterium
Lineage: Bacteria
Description: bacterial SSU rRNA
Rfam family: Bacterial small subunit ribosomal RNA
Source: RNAcentral
AUUGAACGCUGGCGGCAUGCUUUACACAUGCAAGUCGAGCGGCAGCGCGGGGGCAACCCUGGCGGCGAGCGGCGAACGGGUGAGUAAUGCAUCGGAACGUAUCCUCUUGUGGGGGAUAACCCACCGAAAGGUGGGCUAAUACCGCAUAAGCUCUGAGGAGGAAAGCGGGGGGACCGAAAGGCCUCGCGCUGGGAGGAGCGGCCGAUGUCCGAUUAGCUAGUUGGUGAGGUAAAGGCUCACCAAGGCGACGAUCGGUAGCUGGUCUGAGAGGAUGAUCAGCCACACUGGGACUGAGACACGGCCCAGACUCCUACGGGAGGCAGCAGUGGGGAAUAUUGCGCAAUGGAGGAAACUCUGACGCAGCCAUGUCGCGUGAAUGAAGAAGGCCUUAGGGUUGUAAAAUUCUUUCAGAUGCGAAGAUAAUGACGGUACCAUCAGAAGAAGCUCCGGCUAAAUUCGUGCCAGCAGCCGCGGU